This is a non-coding RNA of Schistosoma rodhaini, 46 nucleotides long. The record is from Rfam. NCBI's taxonomy places the organism in Eukaryota, Metazoa, Platyhelminthes, Trematoda, Strigeidida, Schistosomatidae.
ACACUGCUGAGGAGUCCCAAAAUAGGACGUAAUGGCCGUCCAGUGC